This 253-nucleotide ribosomal RNA is filed under the name uncultured bacterium. Its description in RNAcentral is "partial 16S ribosomal RNA". It matches the Rfam family "Bacterial small subunit ribosomal RNA", at positions 524 to 776 of the family's 1533-position model. The record is from RNAcentral.
UACGUAGGGGGCAAGCGUUGUCCGGAAUCAUUGGGCGUAAAGCGCGUGUAGGCGGCUCGGUAAGUCUGCUCUGAAAGCCUGGGGCUCAACCCUGGGAGGCGGGUGGAUACUGCUGGGCUCGAGUCCGGAAGAGGCGAGUGGAAUUCCUGGUGUAGCGGUGAAAUGCGCAGAUAUCAGGAGGAACACCAAUGGCGAAGGCAGCUCGCUGGGACGGUACUGACGCUGAGACGCGAAAGCGUGGGGAGCAAACAGG